RNAcentral lists this ribosomal RNA (407 nucleotides) under uncultured bacterium. Its description in RNAcentral is "partial 16S ribosomal RNA". It matches the Rfam family "Bacterial small subunit ribosomal RNA", at positions 30 to 526 of the family's 1533-position model. The record is from RNAcentral.
AUUGAACGCUGGCGGCAGGCCUAACACAUGCAAGUCGAACGGAGUGGCGGACGGGCGAGUAAUGUCGGGGAAACUGCGUGACGGAGGGGGCUAACUACUGGAAACGGACGCUAAUACUGCAUACUAUCAGUUGGGCUUAGGUCGGAUUAGCUAGUUGGUGAGGUAAUGGCUCACCAAGGCUACGAUCCGUACCGGGUCUGAGAGGAUGAUCAGCCACACUGGAACUGAGACAUGGUCCAGACUCCUACGGGAGGCAGCAGUGGGGAAUAUUGGGCAAUGGGCGAAAGCCUGAUCCAGCCAUGCCGCGUGUGUGAAGAAGGUCUUCGGAUUGUAAAGCACUGUAAGUUGGGAGGCGUUACCGACAGAAUAAGCACCGGCUAACUCUGUGCCAGCAGCCGCGGUAAUUC